Bos taurus (domestic cattle) is the source of this 430-nucleotide long non-coding RNA. NCBI's taxonomy places the organism in Eukaryota, Metazoa, Chordata, Mammalia, Artiodactyla, Bovidae. The record is from Ensembl.
CCCCACUUUCUAGAUGAGGACAUUGAAAAUCCUGAGAGAUCCGGUGACAGGCCACCUAAGAAGCUGGGAUCCAGGUUUCAAUGGCCAGUGUGCCUUUGCUGCACGGACCACAGCCUUAGCUGACCUCAGCUGAGUUGCUCACCUGUCACUUCGAGCCUUCAACAGACACUAAAGCCUAGAGUUGUUCCAUGUGGGGGGAUCUUCCCGAGCCGGGGAUUGAACCUACAUCUCCAGCGUCUCCUGCAUUAGCAGGGUGAUGCUUGCUGCUGCUGCUGCUGCUGCUGCUAAGUUACUUCAGUCAUGUCCGACUCUGUGUGACCCCAUAGACAGCAGCCCACCAGGCUCCCCGGUCCCUGGGAUUCUCCAGGCAAGAACACUGGAGUGGGUUGACAUUUCCUUCUCCAAUGAAUGAAAGUGAAAAGUGAGAGGG